UACGUAGGGUGCAAGCGUUGUCCGGAAUUAUUGGGCGUAAAGAGCUCGUAGGCGGUUUGUCGCGUCUGCUGUGAAAACUCGGGGCUUAACUCCGGGCCUGCAGUGGGUACGGGCAGACUAGAGUGCGGUAGGGGAGACUGGAAUUCCUGGUGUAGCGGUGAAAUGCGCAGAUAUCAGGAGGAACACCGGUGGCGAAGGCGGGUCUCUGGGCCGUAACUGACGCUGAGGAGCGAAAGCGUGGGGAGCGUACAGG
This 253-nucleotide ribosomal RNA is filed under the name uncultured bacterium. RNAcentral describes it as "partial 16S ribosomal RNA". It matches the Rfam family "Bacterial small subunit ribosomal RNA", at positions 524 to 776 of the family's 1533-position model. The record is from RNAcentral.